This 450-nucleotide ribosomal RNA is filed under the name uncultured bacterium. RNAcentral describes it as "partial 16S ribosomal RNA". It matches the Rfam family "Bacterial small subunit ribosomal RNA", at positions 330 to 793 of the family's 1533-position model. The record is from RNAcentral.
GCCAGACUCCUACGGGAGGCAGCAGUGGGGAAUAUUGCACAAUGGGCGAAAGCCUGAUGCAGCAACGCCGCGUGAAGGAAGAAGGGUUUCGGCUCGUAAACUUCUAUCAACAGGGACGAAAGAAAUGACGGUACCUGAAUAAGAAGCCCCGGCUAACUACGUGCCAGCAGCCGCGGUAAUACGUAGGGGGCAAGCGUUAUCCGGAUUUACUGGGUGUAAAGGGGGCGCAGACGGCAAUGCAAGCCAGGAGUGAAAGCCCGGGGCCCAACACCGGGACUGCUCUUGGAACUGCAUGGCUGGAGUACAGGAGGGGCAGGCGGAAUUCCUAGUGUAGCGGUGAAAUGCGCAGAUAUUAGGAGGAACACCGGUGGCGAAGGCGGCCUGCUGGACUGUGACUGACGUUGAGGCCCGAAGGCGUGGGGAGCAAACAGGAUUAGAUACCCCUGUAAA